RNAcentral lists this small RNA (897 nucleotides) under uncultured fungus. Its description in RNAcentral is "eukaryotic LSU rRNA". The stretch from base 464 to 897 matches the Rfam family "Eukaryotic large subunit ribosomal RNA", at positions 1 to 429 of the family's 3401-position model. Lineage: Eukaryota; Fungi. The record is from RNAcentral.
UCCGUAGGUGAACCUGCGGAAGGAUCAUUAAUAGUGCCCUCUGAUGCAAAUCAUUGGGUUAGAUCUGCUCUCUUCGCAAGAAGAGGGUUUCCAUACACACCGUGAACUGUGGCUUCGGCCAUCACAAACUGUUAGUAAUGAAUGUAAUAUCAUAACAAAAACAAAACUUUUAACAACGGAUCUCUUGGCUCUCGCAUCGAUGAAGAACGCAGCGAAAUGCGAUAAGUAAUGUGAAUUGCAGAAUUCAGUGAAUCAUCGAAUCUUUGAACGCACCUUGCGCCCUUUGGUAUUCCGAAGGGCAUGCCUGUUUGAGUGUCAUGAAACCUCACCCCACUUGGGUUUUUGCCUGAGCGGUGGUGUAUUGGGUGUUGCCUUGCUAAAGGCUCGCCUUAAAGACAUAAGCACCUUGGAUGUAAUACGUUUCAUCCUUCUGGGUGGCUGAUAACCCCACAUAUUCAUGAUCUGGCCUCAAAUCAGGUAGGGCUACCCGCUGAACUUAAGCAUAUCAAUAAGCGGAGGAAAAGAAACUAACUAGGAUUCCCUUAGUAACGGCGAGUGGACCGGGAUGAGCUCAAAUUUAAAAUCUGGCGUCUUUCAGGCGUCCGAGUUGUAAUCUAUAGAGGCGUUUUCCGCGCCGGACCGCGUCCAAGUCUCUUGGAAUAGAGUAUCAAAGAGGGUGACAAUCCCGUACUUGACGCGACAACCGGUGCUCUGUGAUAUGUUCUCAAUGAGUCGAGUUGUUUGGGAAUGCAGCUCUAAAUGGGUGGUAAAUUCCAUCUAAGGCUAAAUAUUGGCGAGAGACCGAUAGCGAACAAGUACCGUGAGGGAAAGAUGAAAAGCACUUUGGAAAGAGAGUUAAACAGCACGUGAAAUUGUUAAAAGGGAAACGCUUGAAGU